RNAcentral lists this ribosomal RNA (253 nucleotides) under uncultured bacterium. Its description in RNAcentral is "partial 16S ribosomal RNA". It matches the Rfam family "Bacterial small subunit ribosomal RNA", at positions 524 to 776 of the family's 1533-position model. The record is from RNAcentral.
GACAGAGGUGCCAAGCGUUAGGCGGAAUCACUGGGCUUAAAGCGUGUGUAGGUGGAUUUGUAAGUACCUUGUGAAAUCCCGAGGCUCAACCUCGGGUCUGCAGUCGAUACGGGCAAACUAAAGUAUUGCAGGGGAGACUGGAAUUCCUGGUGUAGCGGUGAAAUGCGCAGAUAUCAGGAGGAACACCGGUGGCGAAGGCGGGUCUCUGGGCAAUAACUGACGCUGAGGAGCGAAAGCGUGGGGAGCGAACAGG